AACGAACGCUGGCGGCAUGCCUAACACAUGCAAGUCGAACGAGACCUUCGGGUCUAGUGGCGCACGGGUGCGUAACGCGUGGGAACCUGCCCUUAGGUUCGGAAUAACUCCCCGAAAGGGGUGCUAAUACCGGAUAAUGUCUUCGGACCAAAGAUUUAUCGCCUUUGGAUGGGCCCGCGUUGGAGUAGCUAGUUGGUAGGGUAAAAGCCUACCAAGGCGACGAUCCAUAGCUGGUCUGAGAGGAUGAUCAGCCACACUGGGACUGAGACACGGCCCAGACUCCUACGGGAGGCGGCAGUGGGGAAUAUUGGACAGUGGGCGAAGGCCUGAUCCAGCACUGCCGCGUGAGUGAUGAAGGCCUUAGGGUUGUAAAGCUCUUUUACCCGGGAUGGUAAUGACAGUACCGGGAGAAUAAGCUCCGGCUAACUCCGUG
This 433-nucleotide ribosomal RNA is filed under the name uncultured bacterium. Its description in RNAcentral is "partial 16S ribosomal RNA". It matches the Rfam family "Bacterial small subunit ribosomal RNA", at positions 29 to 507 of the family's 1533-position model. The record is from RNAcentral.